CUGGGUUAUUAGCCUUCCUGUUAUAUGAUACCUUAUGGGGAAGACCUAAUUGAUGUAAAUCAAACACAGCUUGCAGGAAAAAAAAUAUCAAAAUCAUCCUUCAGGUAUUUGGUGAAUGUUCAGGCAUCUCAGGGUUUCAGUAUUUAACACUACUUUUCCAACAAGAGGUUACACGUGGCUAAUAACACAAAUAAAUCCUUUCUUAUUCGUAAAUUAGCAGGCUCAAAGAAGUGGAAAUUGAAGGAGAGCAUUGGCAUUUUGCUUUGCUGAAUAAGCUUUGGACAGAAAUUAGACUGAAAAGUAUUGAGUGGGAGGGGUUUAGCUGUACAGUUCAAUAACCUUGCCAACAUAUUUUUAUUAAGGCAUUCUUACAUAAGCCAUUAAGCUUUAGGUUAAUUUUUACAGAUUUUUUUUUUUUUCUGGGCAGACUUCACGGUUAGGACUAAAAUGAAGCCUCCGGAAGAUUUUCCUCUGGAUCUCGGUGGGUGUCACGGGGCAGCAGCGCCCGAGCGGGAUGGCGUGGCUGUCCGGCCAUCCGAGAGUUCCUUCAUUCCACGUAAACAUUAGCAAGAAGAGCUCGCUGUUUGCUCAUUUUGCUCCUGGACAUUAGCUCUGUCACCGGAGAUUCUGAUGUGCAGCCAUAUUAUUUUUAUCGUGAAAGAAAGAAAAAUAUGGCUUGCUUCUCUUUUUUUCCUUAAGGUCCUGUUCAUUCAUUAUGGUCCCUGCCUGUCUCAGAGAGAAAUUGCACCAUGCCUGGAAAGGUGUAGAAGAGUUCUUGGCGGCUGGCACUAUGGCACAGAGGGUUAAAGUCCUGGCUGUUCCUCUUCCGAUCCAGCUCUCUGCUAUGGCCUGGGAAAUCAGUAGAAGAUGGCUCAAGUCUUUGGGGCCCUGCACCCAUGCGGGAGAUCCGGAAGAAGCUCCUGGCUCCUGGCUUCUGGCUUCGGAUAGGCUGAGCUCUGGCCAUUGCAGCCAUCCGGGGAGUGAACCAGCGGAUGGAAGAGCUCUCUCUCUGUCUCUACCUCUUUCUGUAACUCUGUCUCUCAAAUAAAUAAAAUAAAUCUUUAAAAAAAAGGGACUAGAAGAGUUCU
Molecule: long non-coding RNA, 1088 nt
Filed under: Oryctolagus cuniculus (rabbit)
Lineage: Eukaryota; Metazoa; Chordata; Mammalia; Lagomorpha; Leporidae
Description: lncRNA (ENSOCUG00000031741.1)
Source: RNAcentral